UUCGGAAUGAAGAGUGUUGUGACUGAGCGGCGGACGGGUGAGUAACGCGUGGGUAACCUGCCUCAUACAGGGGGAUAACAGUUAGAAAUGACUGCUAAUACCGCAUAAGACCACGGUACCGCAUGGUACAGUGGGAAAAACUCCGGUGGUAUGAGAUGGACCCGCGUCUGAUUAGCUAGUUGGUAAGGUAACGGCUUACCAAGGCGACGAUCAGUAGCCGACCUGAGAGGGUGACCGGCCACAUUGGGACUGAGACACGGCCCAAACUCCUACGGGAGGCAGCAGUGGGGAAUAUUGCACAAUGGGGGAAACCCUGAUGCAGCGACGCCGCGUGAAGGAUGAAGUAUUUCGGUAUGUAAACUUCUAUCAGCAGGGAAGAAAAUGACGGUACCUGACUAAGAAGCCCCGGCUAACUACGUGCCAGCAGCCGCGGUAAUACGUAGGGGGCAAGCGUUAUCCGGAUUUACUGGGUGUAAAGGGAGCGUAGACGGUUACGUAAGUCUGAUGUGAAAACCCGGGGCUCAACCCCGGGACUGCAUUGGAGACUAUGUAACUAGAGUGUCGGAGAGGUAAGUGGAAUUCCUAGUGUAGCGGUGAAAUGCGUAGAUAUUAGGAGGAACACCAGUGGCGAAGGCGGCUUACUGGACGAUGACUGACGUUGAGGCUCGAAAGCGUGGGGAGCAAACAGGAUUAGAUACCCUGGUAGUCCACGCCGUAAACGAUGCAUACUAGGUGUCGGGUGGCAAAG
This 748-nucleotide ribosomal RNA is filed under the name uncultured bacterium. RNAcentral's name for it is "bacterial SSU rRNA". It matches the Rfam family "Bacterial small subunit ribosomal RNA", at positions 75 to 835 of the family's 1533-position model. The record is from RNAcentral.